Molecule: ribosomal RNA, 710 nt
Filed under: Faecalibacterium prausnitzii
Lineage: Bacteria; Bacillati; Bacillota; Clostridia; Eubacteriales; Oscillospiraceae
Description: bacterial SSU rRNA
Rfam family: Bacterial small subunit ribosomal RNA
Source: RNAcentral
UAAACUCCUGUUGUUGAGGAAGAUAAUGACGGUACUCAACAAGGAAGUGACGGCUAACUACGUGCCAGCAGCCGCGGUAAAACGUAGGUCACAAGCGUUGUCCGGAAUUACUGGGUGUAAAGGGAGCGCAGGCGGGAAGACAAGUUGGAAGUGAAAUCCAUGGGCUCAACCCAUGAACUGCUUUCAAAACUGUUUUUCUUGAGUAGUGCAGAGGUAGGCGGAAUUCCCGGUGUAGCGGUGGAAUGCGUAGAUAUCGGGAGGAACACCAGUGGCGAAGGCGGCCUACUGGGCACCAACUGACGCUGAGGCUCGAAAGUGUGGGUAGCAAACAGGAUUAGAUACCCUGGUAGUCCACACCGUAAACGAUGAUUACUAGGUGUUGGAGGAUUGACCCCUUCAGUGCCGCAGUUAACACAAUAAGUAAUCCACCUGGGGAGUACGACCGCAAGGUUGAAACUCAAAGGAAUUGACGGGGGCCCGCACAAGCAGUGGAGUAUGUGGUUUAAUUCGACGCAACGCGAAGAACCUUACCAAGUCUUGACAUCCCUUGACGAUGCURGAAAYAGGAUUUCUCUUCGGAGCAAGGAGACAGGUGGUGCAUGGUUGUCGUCAGCUCGUGUCGUGAGAUGUUGGGUUAAGUCCCGCAACGAGCGCAACCCUUAUGGUCAGUUACUACGCAAGAGGACUCUGGCCGGACUGCCGUUGACAAA